Molecule: transfer RNA, 76 nt
Filed under: Halanaerobacter jeridensis
Lineage: Bacteria; Bacillati; Bacillota; Clostridia; Halanaerobiales; Halobacteroidaceae
Also listed under: 1 other name
Description: tRNA-Met
Rfam family: tRNA
About the family: Transfer RNA (tRNA) molecules are approximately 80 nucleotides in length. Their secondary structure includes four short double-helical elements and three loops (D, anti-codon, and T loops). Further hydrogen bonds mediate the characteristic L-shaped molecular structure. tRNAs have two regions of fundamental functional importance: the anti-codon, which is responsible for specific mRNA codon recognition, and the 3' end, to which the tRNAs corresponding amino acid is attached (by aminoacyl-tRNA synthetases). tRNAs cope with the degeneracy of the genetic code in two manners: having more than one tRNA (with a specific anti-codon) for a particular amino acid; and 'wobble' base-pairing, i.e. permitting non-standard base-pairing at the 3rd anti-codon position.
Source: RNAcentral
CGCGGGGUAGAGCAGUUGGUAGCUCGUCGGGCUCAUAACCCGGAGGUCAUCGGUUCGAAUCCGAUCCCCGCAACCA